AAACCAUUUCCAAAGGUACUUCCAGUAAAAUUAGGUGAAUAUAAUUCUUUAAGGUUUAUGGUCAGUGAUUAAGUGGAAGCUUCAGCCAAAGAUUUAGCAGUAUUUUAUAAUGUGCUGUCAGUUCUCGGUGGUGUUUCUCCCUUUUAUUCCAGAAGUUGUGUCCUUAAGGGGUUAAUAUGAGCAGUUACUGUAUCAAUAUAUGUAUGAACAGAACCAGCUGUUAAAUGCAGGGAGAAGCCAUCUUGCUUUUCUAGCAGACUAUAGCCUGUGUUUCUUGCGUUCUACU
This is a non-coding RNA of Pelobates cultripes (western spadefoot toad), 286 nucleotides long. Lineage: Eukaryota; Metazoa; Chordata; Amphibia; Anura; Pelobatidae. The record is from the annotation of a GenBank genome assembly.